Molecule: long non-coding RNA, 1693 nt
Organism: Rhincodon typus (whale shark)
Lineage: Eukaryota; Metazoa; Chordata; Chondrichthyes; Orectolobiformes; Rhincodontidae
Exons: 2
Source: RefSeq, a predicted model, not a curated record
CAGCAGCCGGUCACUAAGUGAAUCGAUUCGGCCUGAUUCAACCCUCUCGAUCGUGACAGAGUUGAGGCACAGCGGGGCGCGUACAAAAGAAAACGAAAAUAGGAAAGGGCUGCUUCAUUUCUAACUGACACCCCUCCUCACCCACCCAACCCCUGGUGAUGCUUGGCACAGAAUGAACUUGCAGCGCACAACACAGGCCGUUUUCCUUUCGGGGCUUCUCUCAAUGGACAGUUACCCGGUCAGGGCAGGAAGGUGAAGAUUUUACGAGCCGCAUCUACCAGCCAUAGCGAACGCGGCCUCACUUCGUGUAAAAGAAAACAACGAAAUCAAAAGACAGUAAAUUUAAAGUGAAGGGAGGUCACGUGGCGAUGAGGAGCAGACCUGAGUCUUCCCUCAGAAAACAGCUCGAAUGGAAGCUCAGGUCCCCUCUUUUAGAGCAUCACUGAACGUGUUAAAAUCUCAAGGCACGCCUACGGGGCUCCAAUUCUUCCCAUUGAACUUCUUUUUCUCUCUCUCUCCACCUCCUCCCACCCCUCCAAAUAAAUACAGGCUGUGCAUGUGGAUGUCUCCACGGAAUGGGUGACCAACAAAUGAACUGUAUUUGAUGGGAAGCAUCAUUGAUAAAUACAAAGGGUGCAACGUGUGGACGUGUGUGUGUUUUCCAGCGUAGGAUGCUACCAGGCGAAGUUCGCUUCAUUUCUGCAGCGUGUUAAUAUAGUCAAGAGAGGAAUCUCAACUGUUUCUGGAUGGACGAAGCCAGCAGCUCCCGGCCUCCUAAAGAAGGCGGCGGCAGCCACUCGCGCUGCUUUCCAGGAACUUUCCAAGAACUCAAGUCACCUGCUCUUGUUGCCAUUUCACCGCCGGCCAAUCAGCGGCGGGGUUGCCCCGCCUUUCGUUGUGACGUCAGAGUGAGGCGGGUUUCAUUGGCGGCGAUGUCCUGUCCCCUCCCCCGGAAGAAGCAGCCUUCCUCCUAGCCGCCCGUUGCUGCGGUGAAGGGAAAAGGGGAUGAGCCUGUGCUGCCGACCUAGGUAAACAAAAGGCCAUCACUGCUUGAAGUCUCUGACACUGCUCGGUUGAACGGCUUAAUUACUUAGCGGGAACUUUCCUUUUUGUCGCUGAAUCCUUCCUGAUCUACCUUCGGUUUGUAAACCGAGAUUUGCAAAGCUGUUGACUGCACAUCGCGGACCCCGCGGAUUUCGUCUCAAUUUUUGUUUUGAGCUGUCAGGUAAUUUAACUUUCCUACCGCCCCGUCUUCGUUUGCUGCAAAGUGCCAAAUUGCAUCACCUGUUUGGGGAUCUCUGCGCAAAGGUGGUCACUAAUUUACAUUUUAAAAAGACUUCCGAUGCUGAGCGAGAAUAUUAAAGAACGCGAAUAUUGCAGGGAAUUGGGGACAGAAUCGGUGAAUGAGAUGAACGUAAUUGCUCCUGGAAAGAGUGCAGUUUCGAUGGGCUGAGCCACCUAUGAGUCAGCAUUGUACAAAUUGUGCUUGCAAAAUGAAUUGUUGGGCGGCACUAUCGAGCAUUUAUUUGUGGCAUCACUUGUUGAUUGAAAACACUCAAUUCUGUAUACUAUUAAUGGUUUAUAUUUCUGCAAUAUACAAGUUACACAUUAUAUAAUAAAUACUGGUAUAUGUGAAAUUCCAUUUGUGUAACAUCCUGCUGGAUCACAAAAUAUUAAAUUCUAAUGUUUUAUA